This 501-nucleotide ribosomal RNA is filed under the name uncultured bacterium. RNAcentral describes it as "bacterial SSU rRNA". It matches the Rfam family "Bacterial small subunit ribosomal RNA", at positions 28 to 520 of the family's 1533-position model. The record is from RNAcentral.
GAUGAACGCUAGCGACAGGCUUAACACAUGCAAGUCGAGGGGCAGCGAGAAAGUGCUUGCACUUUUGUCGGCGACCGGCGCACGGGUGAGUAACACGUAUGCAACCUGCCCUUGUCAGGGGGAUAAGCGGGGGAAACCCCGUCUAAUACCGCAUAUAUGAUUUGGAGGCAUCUUUAAAUCAGGAAAGAAUUAUCGGACAAGGAUGGGCAUGCGGGACAUUAGGUAGUUGGGGGUGUAACGGACCACCAAGCCGACGAUGUCUAGGGGUUCUGAGAGGUUAACCCCCCCACAUUGGUACUGAGACACGGACCAAACUCCUACGGGAGGCAGCAGUGAGGAAUAUUGGUCAAUGGACGCAAGUCUGAACCAGCCAUGCCGCGUGCAGGAUGACGGCUCUACGAGUUGUAAACUGCUUUUGUAUGAGGGUAAUAUCAGGUACGUGUACCUGCUUGAAAGUAUCAUACGAAUAAGGAUCGGCUAACUCCGUGCCAGCAGCCGCGG